UACGUAGGGUCCGAGCGUUGUCCGGAUUUAUUGGGCGUAAAGAGCUCGUAGGCGGUUCCGUAAGUCAGAUGUGAAAACUCAGGGCUCAACCCGGAGACGCCAUCUGAUACUGCGGUGACUGGAGUCUGGUAGGGGAACACGGAAUUCCUGGUGUAGCGGUGAAAUGCGCAGAUAUCAGGAGGAACACCGAUGGCGAAGGCAGGUCUCUGGGCAUUAACUGACGCUGAGGAGCGAAAGCAUGGGGAGCGAACAGG
This 254-nucleotide ribosomal RNA is filed under the name uncultured bacterium. RNAcentral's name for it is "partial 16S ribosomal RNA". It matches the Rfam family "Bacterial small subunit ribosomal RNA", at positions 524 to 776 of the family's 1533-position model. The record is from RNAcentral.